RNAcentral lists this ribosomal RNA (389 nucleotides) under uncultured bacterium. Its description in RNAcentral is "bacterial SSU rRNA". It matches the Rfam family "Bacterial small subunit ribosomal RNA", at positions 335 to 740 of the family's 1533-position model. The record is from RNAcentral.
ACUCCUACGGGGAGGCAGCAGGUAGGGAAUGCUGACAAUGGGCGCAAGCCUGAUCCAGCCAUGCCGCGUGAGUGAUGAAGGCCUUAGGGUCGUAAAGCUCUUUCGCCAGAGAUGAUAAUGACAGUAUCUGGUAAAGAAACCCCGGCUAACUCCGUGCCAGCAGCCGCGGUAAUACGGAGGGGGUUAGCGUUGUUCGGAAUUACUGGGCGUAAAGCGCGCGUAGGCGGACUAGUCAGUCAGGGGUGAAAUCCCGGGGCUCAACCCCGGAACUGCCUUUGAUACUGCUAGUCUAGAGUUCGAGAGAGGUGAGUGGAAUUCCGAGUGUAGAGGUGAAAUUCGUAGAUAUUCGGAGGAACACCAGUGGCGAAGGCGGCUCACUGGCUCGAUAC